RNAcentral lists this ribosomal RNA (320 nucleotides) under uncultured Prevotella sp. Its description in RNAcentral is "bacterial SSU rRNA". It matches the Rfam family "Bacterial small subunit ribosomal RNA", at positions 28 to 339 of the family's 1533-position model. Lineage: Bacteria; Pseudomonadati; Bacteroidota; Bacteroidia; Bacteroidales; Prevotellaceae. The record is from RNAcentral.
GAUGAACGCUAGCUACAGGCUUAACACAUGCAAGUCGAGGGGCAUCAUGACGAAAGCUUGCUUUUGUUGAUGGCGACCGGCGCACGGGUGAGUAACGCGUAUCCAACCUUCCCCUUACUAGGGAAUAGCCCGGCGAAAGUCGGAUUAAUGCCCUAUGUUCUCCUUUGCGGGCAUCUAACGAGGAGCAAAGAUUCAUCGGUAAGGGAUGGGGAUGCGUCUGAUUAGCCGGUUGGCGGGGUAACGGCCCACCAAGGCGACGAUCAGUAGGGGUUCUGAGAGGAAGGUCCCCCACAUUGGUACUGAGACACGGACCAAACUCC